GGUGGCAUCGACGAUCCUCCAACGGUCCCCAUCUGACAUUUUUGGGCGAUCGCCGAUGUUCUCAAUUCUGUGGUAAACCGGCAAGUUUAACGCAUUUCUGUAACUUAUAUUGCAUUUCCCCAUUUAAUUCCGGAAAGGCACUGAAAAUAAAUAAUCUAUUUAUCAUAUAGGCCUAUCAUAGAGUAAGCAGUCAGCGCAGGGAGAUUGUGUUCAGAAAAUGGCCGAGUGCUUUGUUCUAGAUUGCUCUUCAGUUACAGAGAGAAGAUUUUAUACAGAUUGCCUAAAGGCCCAGCAUUCAAAAAAUUCAUCGAUAAUUUAUAUUGUUAUUUGAUAUAUAAUUUCAGUAAUGUUACACAUAUUUUAAUUAUCGUUUAUAAUAUGAUUUAAAUAUAUAAAUAAUAAUAGGACACUUGACCCAAUCAAGCAAUAUCAAUGCCAUUUAUCAACUUCAAAAAUAAGAAAUGUCAGUACAGGGGUAAUGUACUUAUUUUUAUUUUAAAACUUAGGAUUGACGUUUUCAUAAAUGUUAAUCGCCACAUCCCAAUAUCAAACAAUUUUAACUCACUGUAUCUCGCAACUGCUGAACUGUAGACGUUAAUACAGGUAUAGUGUAGGCCUAUGUAUAAUGUUUGUGAAAAUAACAUUUGCAUUUACUGUGCUGUAUUUUGAAAGUGUAAAAA
Molecule: long non-coding RNA, 680 nt
Organism: Anneissia japonica
Lineage: Eukaryota; Metazoa; Echinodermata; Crinoidea; Comatulida; Comatulidae
Exons: 2
Source: RefSeq, a predicted model, not a curated record